RNAcentral lists this ribosomal RNA (497 nucleotides) under uncultured bacterium. RNAcentral's name for it is "partial 16S ribosomal RNA". It matches the Rfam family "Bacterial small subunit ribosomal RNA", at positions 28 to 507 of the family's 1533-position model. The record is from RNAcentral.
GAUGAACGCUGGCGGCGUGCCUAAUACAUGCAAGUCGAGCGAACAGACGAGGAGCUUGCUCCUCUGACGUUAGCGGCGGACGGGUGAGUAACACGUGGAUAACCUACCUAUAAGACUGGGAUAACUUCGGGAAACCGGAGCUAAUACCGGAUAAUAUAUUGAACCGCAUGGUUCACUAGUGAAAGACGGUUUUGCUGUCACUUAUAGAUGGAUCCGCGCCGCAUUAGCUAGUUGGUAAGGUAACGGCUUACCAAGGCAACGAUGCGUAGCCGACCUGAGAGGGUGAUCGACCACACGGGAACUGAGACACGGCCCAGACUCCUACGGGAGGCAGCAGUAGGGAAUCUUCCGCAAUGGGCGAAAGCCUGACGGAGCAACGCCGCGUGAGUGAUGAAGGUCUUCGGAUCGUAAAACGCUGUUAUUAGGGAAGAACAAAUGUGUAAGUAACUAUGCACGUCUUGACGGUACCUAAUCGGAAAGCCACGGCUAACUACGUG